RNAcentral lists this unclassified non-coding RNA (262 nucleotides) under Solicoccozyma terrea. RNAcentral describes it as "partial internal transcribed spacer region". The stretch from base 1 to 65 matches the Rfam family "Eukaryotic small subunit ribosomal RNA", at positions 1767 to 1831 of the family's 1831-position model. The record is from RNAcentral. Lineage: Eukaryota; Fungi; Basidiomycota; Tremellomycetes; Filobasidiales; Piskurozymaceae.
CGUCAUUUAGAGGAAGUAAAAGUCGUAACAAGGUUUCCGUAGGUGAACCUGCGGAAGGAUCAUUAGUGAAUUAAACAUGCUUGGUGUCUUCGCUUCGGCAAGGCCCUUGCUUAAAUCACAUCCUAACACCUGUGAACUGUAAGACGUAUGAUGAGGUCUUUGGCCAAGUCAUCGUCUGCCCAUUUUUAACAAACAAUUAAUGUAACAAACGUAGUCUUAUUAUAACCUAAUAAAACUUUCAACAACGGAUCUCUUGGCUCUC